This 814-nucleotide long non-coding RNA is filed under the name Equus caballus (horse). RNAcentral's name for it is "lncRNA (ENSECAG00000050841.1)". Lineage: Eukaryota; Metazoa; Chordata; Mammalia; Perissodactyla; Equidae. The record is from RNAcentral.
CUGAGAGUGUAGCUCUCCCUGUCCUCUUUUCAGACAGCUAAAGAGCUGAAUGGGUAAUAAAACCUUAUAGCCUGCCAACCCCUUAAGCUUAAGUUCUAAAUGAAUGAUCAAAUGGAGCUGAGUAAAUAGAAGAAGACAAGGAGAAUUCAAACAAAUUCUUGUAGCACACUAUAUGGCUUAUCUGCAGAUUGUAAAUGACAUUCUCUCUGGGAUGACAAAUUCCUAGAAGACAUCCUUUCCUUAUGAACUCAUCCAGAAAUCAGAAUACAAGAGAACCUGACUGAUUCAGUCCACAGUGGACUCUCUCCUGUGGCACAGCACAGUAUGGGGAAGGAUGAAAAAUAGACCUUGAGAAGCAAACAGUAUGGUGACCGUUAACAGAAUUAAUAUGCAAAACUAAUGAUAUUUUCUUCUCUUUGAAAAGCUAAAAGCAGAACAAACUUGAGAAUGUGCAGGACCUAUAUGAAGAAAGCUAUAUUUUACUGAGCCAGAAGAAUCCACAGUGGGUAGAGGAAAUGUCUUCCUCGCCUACACAAGAAUGGGCAAAGAAGGACCUGGUGGGGCUCUCCUGUUACCUGGAGGGAAGAAAAAGCCAUUUGGGACAUUAUACCCAGCAACAACUCUGAGAAGGGCCUGUAUCUUCACCCUUGAUUGCUUGAUUGCUAUUGUGUUUUAAGGGUAAUGCUUAGGUGUUUUAGAACCCCAAGCCAGAAAGAUGAACUAAGGGCUAUCUAAAUUAUAGCAGAAUGUCAUUGGGACAUACAGUCCUUAUUGUCAUUCUCUUACAGCAUGUGUGCCAUGAAUUUAAAAGGAG